UAAGGCUGCAGAUUGGUGGAGUGUUGGAAUCCUUUUGUAUGAAAUGCUUACGGGAAAGCCCCCUUUUACUGGAAAUAGACAAAAAAUUCAACAGAAGAUUAUAAAGGAUAAGAUUAAGCUCCCAUCAUUUUUGUCAAGCGAAGCACAUUCGCUCUUGAAAGGGCUGCUGCAGAAAGAACCAAGCAAGCGCCUUGGUUGUGGACCAGGUGGAAGCGAGGAGAUAAAAUCUCACAAGUGGUUCAAGUCAAUCCACUGGAAGAAAUUGGAGGCAGGAAAAAUCAGGCCAAGCUUUCUCCCAGAGGUUGCAGGUAACCUUUGUGUUGCCAAUUUUGAGGAGUGCUGGACCAACAUGCCAAUCCUGGAUUCUCCAGCUACUACUCCAAAAUCCAAUGAAAAUCCGUUCAAGGGGUUCACUUAUGUAAGGCCUGGAUCGUUUCUUCAGACUCCGCCUUAGAAGUACAAGCUUAGAAAGCUUGGAUAAUUGCCUAUCAAACCCACUGCCGAGUUAGGGCAGAUGGUUGAAUAGACAGAAUUGCCUUUGUUUUUUACUUGAUGAGCUAGCUAGAGAACAGAUAUAUCCCGUAGUCUUUGAACGCAACUUUUCUAUAAAAAAUGAAGUGAAAUAAAGGA
This 630-nucleotide unclassified non-coding RNA is filed under the name Hevea brasiliensis (rubber tree). The record is from RNAcentral. Lineage: Eukaryota; Viridiplantae; Streptophyta; Magnoliopsida; Malpighiales; Euphorbiaceae.